UUUAUUGCUUACGCAGUUACUCGGAGUAGCCUAGUGACGACAUGGUUUGGGGGCCUGGCGGCGGGCACCCCCUGGGGGGCCGGGGGCUCCGCCCUGGAGCCGCCCGCCGAGGCAACGUUUGGGUAUGUUCGCGAUGGUUUGGAGUCUUGCAACUCUUCAAUGAUCCCUCCGCUGGUUCACCAACGGAGA
RNAcentral lists this unclassified non-coding RNA (189 nucleotides) under uncultured fungus. RNAcentral describes it as "sequence contains ITS1". The record is from RNAcentral. Lineage: Eukaryota; Fungi.